Caenorhabditis elegans is the source of this 21-nucleotide non-coding RNA. The record is from Ensembl. NCBI's taxonomy places the organism in Eukaryota, Metazoa, Nematoda, Chromadorea, Rhabditida, Rhabditidae.
UUCAGCUUCAAAGUGCCCGUC